RNAcentral lists this ribosomal RNA (468 nucleotides) under uncultured bacterium. RNAcentral's name for it is "partial 16S ribosomal RNA". It matches the Rfam family "Bacterial small subunit ribosomal RNA", at positions 28 to 507 of the family's 1533-position model. The record is from RNAcentral.
GACGAACGCUGGCGGCGUGCUUAACACAUGCAAGUCGAACGGAAAGGCCCUGCUUUUGUGGGGUGCUCGAGUGGCGAACGGGUGAGUAACACGUGAGUAACCUGCCCUUGACUUUGGGAUAACUUCAGGAAACUGGGGCUAAUACCGGAUAGGAUCUCCUGCUGCAUGGUGGGGGUUGGAAAGUUUCGGCGGUUGGGGCUGGACUCGCGGCUUAUCAGCUUGUUGGUGUGGUAGUGGCUUACCAAGGCUUUGACGGGUAGCCGGCCUGAGAGGGUGACCGGCCACAUUGGGACUGAGAGACGGCCCAGAAUCCUACGGGAGGCAGCAGUGGGGAAUAUUGCACAAUGGGCGGAAGCCUGAGGCAGCAACGCCGCGUGCGGGAUGACGGCCUUCGGGUUGUAAACCGCUUUCGCAUGUGACGAAGAGGGAGUGACGGUAAUGGGUAAAGAAGCACCGGCUAACUACGUG